Molecule: ribosomal RNA, 429 nt
Filed under: uncultured bacterium
Lineage: Bacteria
Description: bacterial SSU rRNA
Rfam family: Bacterial small subunit ribosomal RNA
Source: RNAcentral
CGUGCAGGAUGAAGGCUUCGGGUUGUAACUGCUUUUGUACGGAACGAAAAGGCCCCUUCAAAUAAAGGGGGCCCAUGACGGUACCGUAAGAAUAAGCACCGGCUAACUACGUGCCAGCAGCCGCGGUAAUACGUAGGGUGCAAGCGUUAAUCGGAAUUACUGGGCGUAAAGCGUGCGCAGGCGGUUAUGUAAGACAGAUGUGAAAUCCCCGGGCUCAACCUGGGAAUUGCAUUAGUGACUGCAUAGCUUGAGUGCGGCAGAGGGGGAUGGAAUUCCGCGUGUAGCAGUGAAAUGCGUAGAUAUGCGGAGGAACACCGAUGGCGAAGCAAUCCCCUGGGCCUGCACUGACGCUCAUGCACGAAAGCGUGGGGAGCAACAGGAUUAGAUCCCUGGUAGUCCACGCCCUAACGAUGUCACUGGUUGUUGGGA